RNAcentral lists this long non-coding RNA (780 nucleotides) under Homo sapiens (human). RNAcentral describes it as "non-protein coding lnc-LRP5L-4:19". Lineage: Eukaryota; Metazoa; Chordata; Mammalia; Primates; Hominidae. The record is from RNAcentral.
CAUCUGAACCAUCAGUCACUCUCUGGCCCAGAGAGGUGGUGUUAUUUGCCAAGGACACACAGCAGGUGGCCAAGAUGGAGCCAAGCCAUUUUCCCCACUGCAGGGCUCUUUCCUGGCUGUCAGCUCCGAGUCCAGCCUCUCCUCGCAUUGCUGCAGACGCUUUCUGAGGAACUCGUUCUCCAUCUGAGCACAGUCGAAGCGCAUCUGCCACUCGUCUGCUGUUUAACGGAGUCAGGGAGACCAGGAUAAGAGGCCAAAUGAGUACCCCUGAUCUCCAUUCCCCUGGACAUCUCAAGGGCACAAAUUCUCUGGACACACGGAGGGAAUAAUGCUGACAUUUUAUAGAAGCUGACCCACUGGAUAUCCUUCUCACCCAACUCCAUUAGGCUGGGGAGAGUAAGAGGCACGGUGACAAGGUGGCAAAGAUGUCACCAUGCCAUCCAAUCACGAGGUCUCCAGGAAACUGUAUAAGAAGGACACCUCCAGAAACUCCUGGCACUACUGAACAAAUGUAUAAUAUCCCUGGGUAAAACCAAGAGUCCUCUCGCCUUCUCGCCAUUUGGUAACUGUUGUGCGCCUGACACAGCUUUACCCUCUUUGAAUGGGGAGAGCAGUAGUUUCUGUUCCACAGGUUGCUAUAAGGAUGAACUGUGAUCUCAUCAUUCCUCAUAAUAAUGGCUUAUCAAGAUGAAGUAAUGAUUACCAUUGCCAUUUUACUGAUGAUGAAACAAAGGCUAAGAGACUUGAAGAAUUUGCCCACAAUCUUGUAGCAAUGAAGGU